RNAcentral lists this ribosomal RNA (373 nucleotides) under uncultured bacterium. RNAcentral's name for it is "bacterial SSU rRNA". It matches the Rfam family "Bacterial small subunit ribosomal RNA", at positions 527 to 898 of the family's 1533-position model. The record is from RNAcentral.
GUAGGAGGCGAGCGUUAUCCGGAUUUACUGGGUGUAAAGCGCGUGCAGGCGGUGUGGUAAGUUGGGUGUGAAAGCUCCUGGCUCAACUGGGAGAGGUCGCUCAAGACUGCCAGACUUGAGAGUGGUAAGGGAAGGUGGAAUUCCGGGUGUAGUGGUGAAAUGCGUAGAUAUCCGGAGGAACACCAGUGGCGAAGGCGGCCUUCUGGACCACUUCUGACGCUCAGACGCGAAAGCUAGGGUAGCAAACGGGAUUAGAGACCCCGGUAGUCCUAGCCGUAAACGAUGUGAACUUGGCGCUGGGUCGGUAAAACGGUUCAGUGCCGCAGCUAACGCGAUAAGUUCACCACCUGGGGACUACGGCCGCAAGGUUAAA